UACGUAGGUGGCAAGCGUUGUCCGGAUUUAUUGGGUUUAAAGGGUGCGUAGGCGGUCCCAUAAGUCAGUGGUGAAAUACUCUAGCUCAACUAGAGGGGUGCCAUUGAUACUGCGGGACUGAGUGAAGUCGAAGUAGGCGGAAUUGACGGUGUAGCGGUGAAAUGCUUAGAUAUCGUCAAGAACACCGAUAGUGAAGACAGCUUACUAGACUUAUACUGACGCUGAGGCACGAAAGUGUGGGGAUCAAACAGG
This 252-nucleotide ribosomal RNA is filed under the name uncultured bacterium. RNAcentral's name for it is "partial 16S ribosomal RNA". It matches the Rfam family "Bacterial small subunit ribosomal RNA", at positions 524 to 776 of the family's 1533-position model. The record is from RNAcentral.